RNAcentral lists this ribosomal RNA (494 nucleotides) under uncultured bacterium. RNAcentral describes it as "partial 16S ribosomal RNA". It matches the Rfam family "Bacterial small subunit ribosomal RNA", at positions 28 to 507 of the family's 1533-position model. The record is from RNAcentral.
GACGAACGCUGGCGGCGUGCUUAACACAUGCAAGUCGAACGGUGAAGCGCCUUCCUUUUUGGUGGGUGUGGAUGAGUGGCGAACGGGUGAGUAACACGUGAGUAACCUGCCCCCUUCUUCUGGAUAACCGCAUGAAAGUGUGGCUAAUACGGGAUAUUCUGUGUCUGUCGCAUGAUGGGUCUGGGAAAGAUAUUGUUUCGGUGGGGGAUGGGCUCGCGGCCUAUCAGCUUGUUGGUGGGGUGAUGGCCUACCAAGGCGGUGACGGGUAGCCGGCCUGGGAGGGUGGACGGUCACACUGGGACUGAGACCCGGCCCAGACUCCUACGGGAGGCAGCAGUGGGGAAUAUUGCACAAUGGGCGCAAGCCUGAUGCAGCGACGCCGCGUGAGGGAUGGAGGCCUUCGGGUUGUGAACCUCUUUCGCCAGUGAAGCAGGCCUGCCUCGUUUGUGGGUGGGUUGACGGUAGCUGGAUAAGAAGCGCCGGCUAACUACGUG